GACGGAAGGUGCAAGCGUUGCUCGGAAUCACUGGGCGUAAAGGGUGCGUAGGCGGCCGUGCAAGUCUGUCGUGAAAGCCCCGGGCUCAGCCCGGGAAGUGCGCUCGAAACUGCGCGGCUCGAGUGCCGGAGGGGAGAGUGGAAUUCCUGGUGUAGCGGUGAAAUGCGUAGAUAUCAGGAGGAAUACCGGUGGCGAAAGCGACUCUCUGGACGGCAACUGACGCUGAGGCACGAAAGCGUGGGGAGCAAACAGG
Molecule: ribosomal RNA, 253 nt
Filed under: uncultured bacterium
Lineage: Bacteria
Description: partial 16S ribosomal RNA
Rfam family: Bacterial small subunit ribosomal RNA
Source: RNAcentral